GUAGCUGGUUCCUCCAGUUUCCCCGUGAUAGCUGGAGUUCAUUGGUUAUAUCCGUAAAGUGAAUGAUUAGAGGAUCUGGGGUCGAAAACGACCUCAACCUAUUCUCAAACUUUCAAUGGGUAUGUUGUCUCGGUUUCUUUGUUGAACUGUUGACACGAACGCGAACUCCAAGUGGGCCAUUUUUGGUAAGCAGAACUGGCGCUGUGGAUGAACCAAACGUUGGGUUAAGGUGCCUAACUUUUCGCUCAUGAGACCCCAUAAAAGGCGUUGGUUGAUAUAGACAGCAGGACGGUGGCCAUGUGUUGGUACCCGCUAAGGAGUGUGUAACAACUCACCUGCCGAAUCAACUAGCCCUGAAAAUGGAUGGCGCUUGAGCGAGAGACCUAUACCCAACCGCUGGCUUGUGCGUGCCUGUCGCCUGGCUGCAACGAGUAGGAGGGUCGGUAUGUCGAAGGUUUUGGGCGUCCAACUGGAGCCUGCCGCGCAAGGGUGGUAGUAGCAAAUAUUUAAGUUCGAUCCUUGAAGACUGAAGUGGAGAAGGUUCCACGUGAACAGUAGUUGAAUGGGUCAGUCGAUCCUAAGAUACUGGCUUAUGCUUGUAUCAUCGAGAGGAAAAGUCUCUUUCUCCGGAUAUCAAAAGGGAAUAGGGUUAAUAUUCCCUAACGCAGACACAGAGAUUGUGGCUCUUACGAGUCACUUGCGCGGUAACGCAUUCGAACUUUGUUGUCGCUCAGAGACCGAGCUAGAGUUCUCUUCUCUAAAGGAACGGACUCCCUGGAAUCGGUUCAGCCGUAGAUAGGGACGUUGUUUCCGUAAAGCAUCGCGGUUUCUGUGAUGUCUCGUGUUCUCUGGACGGCCCUUGAAAAACCAAGGGAGGCUAUUAAUCUGUGCUGCACGCGAUAUCCGCAUCAGGUCUCCAAGGUGAACAGCCUCUAGUCGAUAGAAUAAUGUAGGUAAGGGAAGUCGGCAAAUUAGAUCCGUAACUUCGGGAAAAGGAUUGGCUCCAUGACCGGGUCGGUUGGCUUGUUAACUGAUGCUUGUGCGGUUUCGUCCGUGGCUGGCUGAUACUAACGUUGAUGCUGGACUAGUGACAUGACUGCCUUGUGGACGUUUUCAGGUGUGCUUUGUCUUCGGACUUAGUAUCCUGAUCGACCAUCAAAACGGUCGAACUGGAACUGGUACGGACUCGGGGAAUCCGACUGUCUAAUUAAAACAGAGGAGACAGAUGGUCCUUGCGGACGUUUACUGUCUCUGAUUUCUGCCCAGUGCUCUGAAUGUUAAAUCGUAGUAAUUCGAGUAAGCGCGGGUAAACGGCGGAGUAACUAUGACUCUUUAAGGUAGCCAAAUGCCUCGUCAGCUAACUACUGACGCGCAUGAAUGGAUUAACGAGAUUCCCACUGUCCCUAACUACUAUCUAGCGAAACCACAGCCAAGGAACGGGCUUGGCAAAAAAUAGGGGAAAGAAGACCCUGUUGAGCUUGACUCUAGUUUGACAUUGUGAAGAGUCAUGAGAGGUAGCAUAGGUGGGAGACUUCUGGUCGACAAAUGAAAUACCACCACUUUCAUCGAUUCUUUACUUAUUCGGUGAGAAGAGAAUUGAGCUUUAUUUUUUUUCUUUGUAUUAAGCAAAGCCACCUGGUGGUAUUGCGACUCUCGCCGAAGACAGUGUCAGGCGGGGAGUUUGACUGGGGCGGUACAUCUGUCAAACUGUAACGCAGGUGUCCUAAGGCUAGCUCAGAGAGACGGAAACUCGUAGAGCAAAAGGCAAAAGCUCGCUUGAUCUUGACUUUCAGUACGAGUACAGACCGCAAAGCGUGGCCUAUCGAUCCUUUAAUCCAGAUGGUUUCUGGUAAGAGUGUCAGAAAAGUUACCACAGGAUAACUGGCUUGUGCACAAGCGUCCAUAGCGACGUUGCUUUUUGAUCCUUCGAUGUCGGCUCUUCCUAUCAUUGCGAAGCAGAAUUCGCCAAGCGUUGGAUUGUUCACCCACUAAUAGGGAACGUGAGCUGGGUUUAGACCGUCGAGACAGGUUAGUUUUACCCUACUGUUGACUAAUUGUUGCGAUAGUAAUCCUGCUUAGUACGAGAGGAACAGCAGGUUCAGACAUUUGGUUCAUGGACUUGACCGAUCGGUCAAUGGUCCAGUUACCAUCUGGGGAUUAUGACUGAACGCCUCUAAGUCAGAAUCCCACCUAGUCAAGGCAGCGAUAACUUUGUUUCCGGUGUCGGGAGGCAAUUCUAUCUCGUGGCAACACGAGAGCUUAUGCCCUAAUAAAUGACCCUGCCGGUAUGGAUAAUCCCUGCUGGUUGUCAAAGCCAGAUCACUCUGGUUCAAUGUCAUGCAAAAUCACAUGUCUCGACAUGUAUACUGGUCAAGGUGUUGUAUCCAGUAGAGCAGUGUUUGUAUACUGCGAUCUGUUGAGACUAACCUUUGAUCGGGUGUUUUGU
This 2446-nucleotide ribosomal RNA is filed under the name Nippostrongylus brasiliensis. Its description in RNAcentral is "eukaryotic LSU rRNA". It matches the Rfam family "Eukaryotic large subunit ribosomal RNA", at positions 947 to 3401 of the family's 3401-position model. Lineage: Eukaryota; Metazoa; Nematoda; Chromadorea; Rhabditida; Heligmosomidae. The record is from RNAcentral.